This 253-nucleotide ribosomal RNA is filed under the name uncultured bacterium. Its description in RNAcentral is "partial 16S ribosomal RNA". It matches the Rfam family "Bacterial small subunit ribosomal RNA", at positions 524 to 776 of the family's 1533-position model. The record is from RNAcentral.
UACGGAGGGAGCUAGCGUUGUUCGGAAUUACUGGGCGUAAAGCGCACGUAGGCGGCUACUCAAGUCGGGGGUGAAAGCCCGGGGCUCAACCCCGGAACUGCCCUCGAAACUAGGUGGCUAGAAUCUUGGAGAGGUCAGUGGAAUUCCGAGUGUAGAGGUGAAAUUCGUAGAUAUUCGGAGGAACACCAGUGGCGAAGGCGGCUCACUGGUCCAUUACUGACGCUGAGGUGCGAAAGCGUGGGGAGCAAACAGG